RNAcentral lists this ribosomal RNA (401 nucleotides) under uncultured prokaryote. RNAcentral's name for it is "bacterial SSU rRNA". It matches the Rfam family "Bacterial small subunit ribosomal RNA", at positions 355 to 774 of the family's 1533-position model. The record is from RNAcentral.
UGGGGAAUAUUGCACAAUGGGCGAAAGCCUGAUGCAGCAACGCCGCGUGAGCGAUGAAGGCUUUCGGGUCGUAAAGCUCUGUCCUCAAGGAAGAUAAUGAAGGUACUUGAGGAGGAAGCCCCGGCUAACUACGUGCCAGCAGCCGCGGUGAUAAGUAGGGGGCUAGCGUUAUCCGGAAUUACUGGGCGUAAAGGGUGCGUAGGUGGUUUCUUAAGUCAGAGGUGAAAGACUACGGCUCAACCGUAGUAUGCCUUUGAAACUGGGAAACUUGAGUGCAGGAGAUGAGGAUGGAAUUCCUGGUGUAGCGGUGAAAUGCGUAGAUAUUAACAGGAACACCAGUUGCGAGGGCGGCUCUCGGGACUUUAACUGACGCUAAGGCGCGAAAGCGUGGGGAGCAAACA